GACGAACGCUGGCGGCGUGCCUAAUACAUGCAAGUUGAGCGCUGAAGGUUGGUACUUGUACCGACUGGAUGAGCAGCGAACGGGUGAGUAACGCGUGGGGAAUCUGCCUUUGAGCGGGGGACAACAUUUGGAAACGAAUGCUAAUACCGCAUAAAAACUUUAAACACAAGUUUUAAGUUUGAAAGAUGCAAUUGCAUCACUCAAAGAUGAUCCCGCGUUGUAUUAGCUAGUUGGUGAGGUAAAGGCUCACCAAGGCGAUGAUACAUAGCCGACCUGAGAGGGUGAUCGGCCACAUUGGGACUGAGACACGGCCCAAACUCCUACGGGAGGCAGCAGUAGGGAAUCUUCGGCAAUAGACGAAAGUCUGACCGAGCAACGCCGCGUGAGUGAAGAAGGUUUUCGGAUCGUAAAACUCUGUUGGUAGAGAGGAACGUUGGUGAGAGUGGAAAGCUCAUCAAGUGACGGUAACUACCCAGAAAGGGACGGCUAACUACGUG
Molecule: ribosomal RNA, 497 nt
Filed under: uncultured bacterium
Lineage: Bacteria
Description: partial 16S ribosomal RNA
Rfam family: Bacterial small subunit ribosomal RNA
Source: RNAcentral